RNAcentral lists this ribosomal RNA (467 nucleotides) under uncultured bacterium. RNAcentral describes it as "partial 16S ribosomal RNA". It matches the Rfam family "Bacterial small subunit ribosomal RNA", at positions 28 to 507 of the family's 1533-position model. The record is from RNAcentral.
GAUGAACGCUGACAGAAUGCUUAACACAUGCAAGUCUACUUGAAUUUGGGUUUUUUAACUUAGAUUUGGGUGGCGGACGGGUGAGUAACGCGUAAAGAACUUGCCUCACAGUUAGGGACAACAUUUGGAAACGAAUGCUAAUACCUGAUAUUAUGAAUAUAUGGCAUCAUAUAAUUAUGAAAGCUAUAAGCGCUGUGAGAGAGCUUUGCGUCCCAUUAGCUAGUUGGAGAGGUAACGGCUCACCAAGGCGAUGAUGGGUAGCCGGCCUGAGAGGGUGAACGGCCACAAGGGGACUGAGACACGGCCCUUACUCCUACGGGAGGCAGCAGUGGGGAAUAUUGGACAAUGGACCAAGAGUCUGAUCCAGCAAUUCUGUGUGCACGAUGACGUUUUUCGGAAUGUAAAGUGCUUUCAGUUGGGAAGAAAAAAUGACGGUACCAACAGAAGAAGUGACGGCUAAAUACGUG